RNAcentral lists this ribosomal RNA (468 nucleotides) under uncultured bacterium. RNAcentral describes it as "partial 16S ribosomal RNA". It matches the Rfam family "Bacterial small subunit ribosomal RNA", at positions 28 to 507 of the family's 1533-position model. The record is from RNAcentral.
GACGAACGCUGGCGGCGUGCUUAACACAUGCAAGUCGAACGGAAAGGCCCUGCUUUUGUGGGGUGCUCGAGUGGCGAACGGGUGAGUAACACGUGAGUAACCUUCCCUUGACUUUGGGAUAACUUCAGGAAACUGGGGCUAAUACCGGAUAGGAGCUCCUGCUGCAUGGUGGGGGUUGGAAAGUUUCGGCGGUUGGGGAUGGACUCGCGGCUUAUCAGCUUGUUGGUGGGGUAGUGGCUUACCAAGGCUUUGACGGGUAGCCGGCCUGAGAGGGUGACCGGCCACAUUGGGACUGAGAUACGGCCCAGACUCCUACGGGAGGCAGCAGGGGGGAAUAUUGCACAAUGGGCGGAAGCCUGAUGCAGCAACGCCGCGUGCGGGAUGACGGCCUUCGGGUUGUAAACCGCUUUCGCCUGUGACGAAGCGUGAGUGACGGUAAUGGGUAAAGAAGCACCGGCUAACUACGUG